This 268-nucleotide unclassified non-coding RNA is filed under the name Hevea brasiliensis (rubber tree). The record is from RNAcentral. Lineage: Eukaryota; Viridiplantae; Streptophyta; Magnoliopsida; Malpighiales; Euphorbiaceae.
AUAGCAUAGUCAGAGAUACAGAAUUGUUGACAGUAUUUUUUUUUUUCAUUGUUAAUGUUUUGAUUUUUUGUCCUCCAAAAUCCGAUUAUCAGUGUAAAAUGGAAGGUCUAGACAGGACAUUGUUGAGUCUGAUAUUAUGACUUUUUAAUGUGAACAUUGGCAUGAUCCUCGAGCAAAUGUGAAAGAUCACCAUAACCUUGUGUGUAAAGAUGAAUGCGUAUACUAUACAUGUUCAUAUCUUCAAUAGAAAAUAUAUGUUAGAUUCAUG